GGCAGGGUGGAGAAGCGGUAUCUCGUCUGGCUCAUAACCAGAAGGUCGUCGGUUCAAGUCCGACCCUUGCAACCA
This 75-nucleotide transfer RNA is filed under the name Sulfitobacter sp. R18_1. RNAcentral's name for it is "tRNA-Met". It matches the Rfam family "tRNA". From Rfam's summary of the family: Transfer RNA (tRNA) molecules are approximately 80 nucleotides in length. The record is from RNAcentral. Lineage: Bacteria; Pseudomonadati; Pseudomonadota; Alphaproteobacteria; Rhodobacterales; Roseobacteraceae. RNAcentral also lists the same sequence under 3 other names.